Molecule: ribosomal RNA, 330 nt
Filed under: Triticum aestivum (bread wheat)
Lineage: Eukaryota; Viridiplantae; Streptophyta; Magnoliopsida; Poales; Poaceae
Description: partial small subunit ribosomal RNA
Source: RNAcentral
AUGAUAUUCAAAACUUGCACAAUAAGGGUAAUCACUUCACCUUGGGUGGUUUUGGGAGACUUUAAUGAAAUCGUACUUUCUUCGAAAAAGGAGGGUGGCAAUGCGAGACCAAAUGCUAUGAUGUGAGAGUUUCGUAAUUGUUUGGGAGAGUGCGGUCUGGAAUACAUGGGAUGUAUUGGGGGUCCUUUCACUUGGAGGAGAGGUGAUAUUAUGGAGAGACUUGACCGUGCAGUUUGUAAUGUGGAAAGCACGAACAAAUUUCCUCGGACUACGGUCAUAAAUGAAGAACAUGUACACUCUAAUCAUCGUCCUCUCAUCCUGGAUACAUAA